Long non-coding RNA from Anneissia japonica, 1101 nucleotides. RefSeq lists it as uncharacterized. The transcript is spliced from 3 exons. The record is from RefSeq and is a predicted model, not a curated record. Lineage: Eukaryota; Metazoa; Echinodermata; Crinoidea; Comatulida; Comatulidae.
AUCGCCAUGGGCGCCAUGCGAGCAAGCAAAUUUGAACCAGACAGUAUGAGGGAAUACCCGGAAGUCAAUGUAAACAACCGGCUUUCGUAAUGUCGGGCUGUCAUUGCUCAGCUAUAAAUUGCUCGAAUCGGCAAAAAAAUUGCCCCGACCUGUCAUUCUUUAGGUUUCCGAAGGAUGGAAAGAGAAGUCAAGAAUGGGUCCAAAAUAUAAGAAGAGAUGACCUAAGGAAGAGAUCUCCAGAAUAUUUAUACAGCAAUUGUUGAGUGUGUUCAAAUCAUUUUGAAAGCCAUCAGUUCAACAACAGACAAAGAAAUAGUCUCAAGCACGAUGCUAUUCCAACUGUUUUUUGCAUUCCAAAUCCACCUAGUAAAUUGGCACAACAAAUAAUGCCAGCCCUUUCAUCAAAUUGUGCACCAGAUUAUGAUAGGUUUGUGCUGACCUUAUCCUCUCUGGCACAGAGAGAUAAGCCAGUCAACCAUUCAAGAGUACCGCAAACUGUAACACCCGCCACCGCUUGCCAGUGAAUUCUGUCCCAAGCCUCCCUGAGGAAAACACCAUGGCCUAUAUUGCUGGCUACCUGUGUAGAAAGGUUCUUCUCAGUCAUGAGGUAGUUGCUCCUUGCAAACAGUGUCAAUCAACCUUGCUGGCUUCUGAUGCAACAUGUAAUGACCCUUCGCUUCUCUUCACUCACUACAAGGCAUAUGAUACCACUAAGAAUGAUUUUGGUGCUCUGAAAGUUCCAUCUGUGGCAUUAAUUAUCUUUUGCUUAAUGUGUGAAAACAUUUUCAGAAGAAAAUUUAAUGACACCAACUUGUUCUGUAACAACAUAAGUUACUCAAUUCUAUGUGCCAUCAAACAAGAAAGUUGUUACAGUGCCUUAAAAGUUUGCGAUGACAAAGUCAGAGACAAACUUGUAGCCAUCUAUGUCAGUAUGCGCAUACAUUAUGCACUUAAGUUCAAGAAUAGACAAUUAAAAGCUGAUGCUUUAAACAAGAGAAGGAGAAACAGAAAGUAUUGCUGUUCAAUGUGGUAUCCAUGGCAAUUUUGCAUUGGUUCAGUAUUGCUGAUAGAGGUCCGGUUUUGUACAUGAACAGGUAUUUU